GACGAACGCUGGCGGCGUGCCUAAUACAUGCAAGUAGAACGCUGAAGGAGGAGCUUGCUCUUCUGGAUGAGUUGCGAACGGGUGAGUAACGCGUAGGUAACCUGCCUGGUAGCGGGGGAUAACUAUUGGAAACGAUAGCUAAUACCGCAUAACAGUAGAUGUUGCAUGACAUUUACUUAAAAGGUGCAAUUGCAUCACUACCAGAUGGACCUGCGUUGUAUUAGCUAGUUGGUGGGGUGACGGCUCACCAAGGCGACGAUACAUAGCCGACCUGAGAGGGUGAUCGGCUACACUGGGACUGAGACACGGCCCAGACUCCUACGGGGGGCAGCAGUAGGGAAUCUUCGGGAAUGGACGGAAGUCUGACCGAGCAACGCCGCGUGGGUGGAGAAGGUUUUCGGAUCGUAAAGCUCUGUUGUAAGGGAAGAACGAGUGUGAGAGUGGAAAGUUCACACUGUGACGGUAUCUUACCAGAAAGGGACGGCUAACUACGUG
This 495-nucleotide ribosomal RNA is filed under the name uncultured bacterium. RNAcentral's name for it is "partial 16S ribosomal RNA". It matches the Rfam family "Bacterial small subunit ribosomal RNA", at positions 28 to 507 of the family's 1533-position model. The record is from RNAcentral.